RNAcentral lists this ribosomal RNA (244 nucleotides) under uncultured bacterium. RNAcentral describes it as "partial 16S ribosomal RNA". It matches the Rfam family "Bacterial small subunit ribosomal RNA", at positions 57 to 305 of the family's 1533-position model. The record is from RNAcentral.
GCAAGUCGUACGGUAACAGGUCUUCGGAUGCUGACGAGUGGCGAACGGGUGAGUAAUACAUCGGAACGUGCCCGAUCGUGGGGGAUAACGGAGCGAAAGCUUUGCUAAUACCGCAUACUGUCUACGGAUGAAAGCAGGGGACCGCAAGGCCUUGCGCGGACGGAGCGGCCGAGGGCAGAUCAGGUAGUUGGUGGGAUAAAAGCUUACCAAGCCGACGAUCUGUAGCUGGUCUGAGAGGACGACC